Long non-coding RNA from Salvia miltiorrhiza (redroot sage), 1398 nucleotides. RefSeq lists it as uncharacterized. The transcript has 2 exons. NCBI's taxonomy places the organism in Eukaryota, Viridiplantae, Streptophyta, Magnoliopsida, Lamiales, Lamiaceae. The record is from RefSeq and is a predicted model, not a curated record.
CGUUUGAUAACCAAGUUUUGACUGGUUUGUUAAAUUAACCCGCGUCUACCGGGUGUUUGCUAGUCACAUUUAAUUACCAACGGGGCCCGUUGCAAACCAAGGCCCGCUGGUAUUCAAACGUUAAUGCUCGGUAAUUAGACUGGUCAAAUUGGCCAGUUUAUUUUCUACCUACUGCUACAGUAUCUACAAAGUUAAAUAAGAUUUCAUUUUUACCCUUCUUUCUCCUGGGUUGCAGAUAUUUUCGAUGGAUUCCUCUUGUGCCUUGGCGGCAUAUGCUUUUGCGACGCCGGCUUUCUCGAGCGGGAUUUUCCGGCGGUCGGCUUAGCCACUUUCUUGUGCUUCUUGUUGAUGUGAGCGAGGCGGAGGCUGAGGCAGUUGGUGAGGAUGACUCUGCUUCAUCGGGUCUUGCCCCGAGCGGACGCCUCCAGCAACCGGUCGGCGGCGUCACGUGCAGCGUGGCCGGAAUCGGGGCUGCGGAGGUGGCGGAGGGCGUCGAUGAGCUUCGACGAAUAGAUGUGUUGCUCCUCUUGGGCGUCGACGUGAUUGACAAAUCAAAGGAAAUCUAAUUUCCAAUACAUCAAUCUCAAAUUUCACUCACACAAAGCCUUCACUACUGCCAACAAAGUAGAAGUAAACACACAAACACACCUCUCUCUCUCACACACACAUCAAAUAUUUCAAUUUCAAUGGUUUUCCUCUCUCUCUCUCUCUCUCUCUCCCUCUAGUUCAUUGUUGUUCGAGACUGCAGCUCGUAGCAGUCUGUGUUAUCCGAACACUUAUUUUUGGAGAAUUUGUGUAUGGAUAGCGAAAUUCUGAUCCGUCGAAGAAGCAAUUUAUGCUAAACCUAAGAGGAAAGUUCACUGGAUGGAUAACAAUGGAGAUAAGCUUGCAGAAAUCUUGGAGUUUCAACCGAGUGAUAUGAGCGACUCAGAAAAGGACGAGUCAGAUUCUUGCAUCUGUAGAAUAAUGUAGACCGGAUUCAUGAGAUCAUCCACUAGUAACAUUCUGGUGGAUAUGUGAGAUGUCAGUUUUCUUCUAGUGGAAAAUUGAUCUGCAGAACUUCCUUUUCAAUGGAUCGCAGUCAUAUAACUAAAAUGACAUCUCGCCUUUAGUCUAGCAGAAUUUUCUUGAAGCAUACAAGUAGCCAAAGGAAGACAUCGGAAAUGGUUUCGGGAUUCUCAUGACUAUCAAUAUAUCAUCUGAGUUUUCUCUUUUUACUGGGUAGCAUAUAAAGAUUAGUUUAGUGUGUGCAUUCUAUUCUAAGAAACAUGUAAUUGCUUGUGAUUGUUAUAUAGUAUAGGAGCUUUCAUUUGCUUCCUGUUUCCCACCUCUGUACAAAGUGACAAUUUUGUGUAUCAAGUUGAUUUCUUUGAGCAAUAUAUGUUUGGAUUUUCCUCA